This 292-nucleotide ribosomal RNA is filed under the name Salmonella enterica. Its description in RNAcentral is "partial 23S ribosomal RNA". It matches the Rfam family "Bacterial large subunit ribosomal RNA", at positions 1 to 302 of the family's 2925-position model. The record is from RNAcentral. Lineage: Bacteria; Pseudomonadati; Pseudomonadota; Gammaproteobacteria; Enterobacterales; Enterobacteriaceae.
GGUUAAGCGACUAAGCGUACACGGUGGAUGCCCUGGCAGUCAGAGGCGAUGAAGGACGUGCUAAUCUGCGAUAAGCGCCGGUAAGGUGAUAUGAACCGUUAUAACCGGCGAUACCCGAAUGGGGAAACCCAGUGUGACUCGUCACACUAUCAUUAACUGAAUCCAUAGGUUAAUGAGGCGAACCGGGGGAACUGAAACAUCUAAGUACCCCGAGGAAAAGAAAUCAACCGAGAUUCCCCCAGUAGCGGCGAGCGAACGGGGAGGAGCCCAGAGCCUGAAUCAGCAUGUGGUG